RNAcentral lists this ribosomal RNA (765 nucleotides) under uncultured Sphingobacteriales bacterium. RNAcentral describes it as "bacterial SSU rRNA". It matches the Rfam family "Bacterial small subunit ribosomal RNA", at positions 8 to 796 of the family's 1533-position model. Lineage: Bacteria; Pseudomonadati; Bacteroidota; Sphingobacteriia; Sphingobacteriales. The record is from RNAcentral.
AGAGUUUGAUCAUGGCUCAGGAUGAACGCUGGCGGUAUGCUUAACACAUGCAAGUCGAACGGGGGUAGAAAUACCCUAGUGGCGGACGGGUGAGUAACGUGUGAGAAUCUACCAACAGGAUGGGGAUAACAGAGGGAAACCGCUGCUAAUACCCAAUGUGCCGAGAGGUGAAAGAUUAAUUACCUGUUGAGGAGCUCGCGUCCGAUUAGCUAGUUGGUGGGGUAAGAGCCUACCAAGGCAUCGAUCGGUAGCUGGUCUGAGAGGACGAUCAGCCACACUGGGACUGAGAUACGGGCCAGACUCCUACGGGAGGCAGCAGUAGGGAAUAUUGGGCAAUGGCGGAAACGCUGACCCAGCCAUGCCGCGUGCAGGAAGAAGGCGCUCAGCGUUGUAAACUGCUUUUGCCGGGGAAGAAUGCGCUCUACGCGUAGAGUAAGUGACGGUACCUGGUGAAUAAGCACCGGCUAACUCCGUGCCAGCAGCCGCGGUAAUACGGAGGGUGCAAGCGUUGUCCGGAUUUAUUGGGUUUAAAGGGUGCGUAGGUGGCUUUUUAAGUCUGGGGUGAAAGGCAGUGGCUCAACCACUUGCAGUGCCCUGGAUACUGGAAGGCUCGAGUGCGCGUGAGGCCGGUGGAACGGGUGGUGUAGCGGUGAAAUGCAUAGAUACCAUCCAGAACACCGAUUGCGGAGGCAGCCGGCUAACGCGCAACUGACACUGAGGCACGAAAGCGUGGGGAGCAAACAGGAUUAGAUACCCCGGUAGUCC